UGACACUGAACAUUGAGCCUUGAUGUGUAGGAUAGGUGGGAGGCUUUGAAGUGUGGACGCCAGUCUGCAUGGAGCCGGCCUUGAAAUACCACCCUUUAAUGUUUGAUGUUCUAACGUUGGCCCCUGAUCGGGGUUGCGGACAGUGUCUGGUGGGUAGUUUGACUGGGGCGGUCUCCUCCUAAAGAGUAACGGAGGAGCACGAAGG
This 205-nucleotide ribosomal RNA is filed under the name Escherichia coli. RNAcentral's name for it is "partial 23S ribosomal RNA". It matches the Rfam family "Bacterial large subunit ribosomal RNA", at positions 2112 to 2316 of the family's 2925-position model. Lineage: Bacteria; Pseudomonadati; Pseudomonadota; Gammaproteobacteria; Enterobacterales; Enterobacteriaceae. The record is from RNAcentral.